Molecule: ribosomal RNA, 220 nt
Filed under: uncultured bacterium
Lineage: Bacteria
Description: partial 16S ribosomal RNA
Rfam family: Bacterial small subunit ribosomal RNA
Source: RNAcentral
CGGACGUAGGAAUAUGCCCUAGAGAGGGGAUAACUUGGGGAAACUCAAGCUAAUACCGCAUAAUCUCUGAGGAGUGAAGCUGGGGACCUGAGAGGGCCUGGCGCUUUAGGAAUAGCCUGCGUCUGAUUAGCUAGUUGGUAGGGUAAGGGCCUACCAAGGCGACGAUCGGUAGCUGGUCUGAGAGGAUGAUCAGCCACACUGGGACUGAGACACGGCCCAG